Polistes dominula (European paper wasp) is the source of this 1298-nucleotide long non-coding RNA. The record is from RefSeq and is a predicted model, not a curated record. NCBI's taxonomy places the organism in Eukaryota, Metazoa, Arthropoda, Insecta, Hymenoptera, Vespidae.
CGCCAUCUGAAGGAAAGAUCACGCAUCAUUCCGCUAGAACAAAAUCAACAUGGCUACCUGUCAAUACAAUUUGAAUGCAAAUGCAGACUAUAUGCAGUUUAUCACCAAUUCAAGAUGAAAAUAGUUCAAUUGGAUGACUUGCUGUGCGAUACUGUUCUGCCAUAACCUAACAAAGAUAAUAUUUUAAAUAAAAUCCGAAAAUACAGAUGACUUCCAAAUGUUUUCUUUAUUCAAGUUAUUACUACAAAUACUAAUAAGUAUGCAGCUCUACAUUUUUAAUUCUAAACUAAGAAAAUUAUGCACAGGAGAAGAAGUGUCCAUUACACCAUGGGAUCAAUGGAGAUAUAUUUAAUUUUCUUAUGGUUAACGAUUAGAAGAUUUGCAUUGAUUGUGUCAUCCUAACAAGAGUUUUAUUCUAUAAUAUUAUGUAAAUAGAAUGCAGUUACAGUGACAAUGAAUAAUCAAGACAAGAAUCUGUCAAAAGGUGAGUUCAAUAAUUUGACUGGAAGUGUCUACUCAUUACUAUCAAGAAUGAUAAGAAGAAUCCCACAAUACUGCAACCAUCAAAGAUUUUUGAAGAUACUGCCUUCAUUAUAUUUACAAUUGGAAAAAACCAYACUCAGUUCUAUUCUAUCAAUAGAAUUGCAGAAGAAAUGCAUCCUAGUUAUCACAAAUUAAGAAAACAAAUGGCAAAUACAUUAUAGUAGGAAAUUGUAUUCUUGAACAAAAUAUUUGACCAAGUUUUGUACAUGGUAAUGGAAGAUAUUAAUUUUUCAUUGACUGACAAGAMAAAUUGAUGUAUUUKUUAAUUAAUAUCUUCUUUGUAGAGAUUCCAUGUGAAUUAUUAUGCAAAUAGAAUACAGCUGCAGUGUCAUGAAAUAAUCAAAAUCAUAAAUUGUAAAAAGAGAUUUUCAAUUCUUUGACUGAAAGAGACUAUGCAUUACUAUCAACAACGAUAAGAAGAAUGCAACAAUACUUCAACCAUGAAAGAUUUUGGAUGACACUGCAUUCAUUAUAUUUACAUUGUAAAGAAACCAUAAGCAGUUCUAUUCUACAAAUAGAAUCGAAGAUAGAAUGCAUCCUUGUUAUUACAAAUAAGAAAUUCAUUCUAAUCUGUAAUUUUCAACAUGUACUAAAUUUAUCAAUGUACUUUUUAUUGAGAACUUGAAAACAUUACUAGGAAUUGACUGACACCAAAAAAUUGUAUAUAUUUAUAGAAAGUAAUGUAAUAAUCUCUAGAAAGAGAUUCCAUAUGAAUUAUUUUGCAAAUAAAAUGCAGCUGCAGUGUCAAGUGUCAA